RNAcentral lists this ribosomal RNA (384 nucleotides) under uncultured bacterium. Its description in RNAcentral is "bacterial SSU rRNA". It matches the Rfam family "Bacterial small subunit ribosomal RNA", at positions 30 to 417 of the family's 1533-position model. The record is from RNAcentral.
AUUGAACGCUGGCGGCAUGCCUUACACAUGCAAGUCGAACGGUAACAGGUCUUCGGAUGCUGACGAGUGGCGAACGGGUGAGUAAUACAUCGGAACGUGCCCGAGAGUGGGGGAUAACGAAGCGAAAGCUUUGCUAAUACCGCAUACGAUCUCAGGAUGAAAGCAGGGGACCGCAAGGCCUUGCGCUCACGGAGCGGCCGAUGGCAGAUUAGGUAGUUGGGGGAUAAAAGCUUACCAAGCCGACGAUCUGUAGCUGGUCUGAGAGGACGACCAGCCACACUGGGACUGAGACACGGCCCAGACUCCUACGGGAGGCAGCAGUGGGGAAUUUUGGACAAUGGGCGCAAGCCUGAUCCAGCCAUGCCGCGUGCAGGAUGAAGGCCU